This 242-nucleotide ribosomal RNA is filed under the name uncultured bacterium. RNAcentral's name for it is "partial 16S ribosomal RNA". It matches the Rfam family "Bacterial small subunit ribosomal RNA", at positions 524 to 775 of the family's 1533-position model. The record is from RNAcentral.
UACGGGGGAGCAAGCGUUGUUCGGAUUACUGGGCGUAAAGGGCGCGUAGGCGGCCGCCCGCGUCGGACGUGAAAGCCCGGCUCAACCGGGAAGUGCACUCGAUACUGCCACGCUAGAGUAUCGGAGAGGUUGGUGAAUUCGUCGGUGUAGAGGUGAAAUUCGUAGAUAUCGAGAGGAACACGUGGCGAAGGCGGCCUUCUGGACAGUGACUGACGCUGAGUGCGAAAGCGUGGGAGCAACAG